GAGGCCAGCGUUCCCCUGUCUGGUCUCCUCUCUCUUCCAUGUCAGAGAGAGUCAUUUUUAUUGUUAAUAGGAAGGUGUCUGCUUUGUCACCUGCAGCUGCCCUGGCCCUGUGGCCUAUUGUCUGAGCUGGUGCCACCUCAAGCAGGAUGGCAUGUGCUAGGCCUAACUCGGGGGGCAGUAGCAUGGGGGACCCAGGCUUUUCGUUGGCAUCUCAGCUGCGUCAGUUUGCAAACAUGUGCACUGCCCUUAGCUAGCAGGAGGUGAAAAGACAAGUGGCGUGGCUUUAAAACAACACCAGUGAAAAUCCAAACAAGUCUAACUUGACCUCCCCAAGGAGAACAGCAUGUGGGCAAGAGAGCUGAGGAUUCACCCAGGACCUGCCUCAGAGCUGGGGGUUCAUUUUGGGGCCUUAGUGAUCUUUCAGGCUUGCCUACAAGUAUGACUCUGAUCCAAAAUUAGGCUUUGAAUGUGUAACACAAGGCUCCCUGCCCCACCCACCGCCUCCCUCUGCCCUGUGCCGUUUCUUCAGAGCCUGGCUCUGGGCCAGAUCUGGCCCUUCUGGCUCCUGGGGGAAGGGCUGGAUGCAGUGUUCUGUUUCCAGGCAGGGCUUUAGGGUGGGUGAAGGUGAUUGCACUAUUCAGGAAGGGGUGCGGAGGUGAUACGCUUGGGAAGGGCACCCAACCCUCAAAUGCCUCACCCCAUCAACCCAAAGCUGGAGAAGACUUAGGGCAGUGCGCAUUGCUUAUGCCCACCUGUGCCUUCCAGCUUGGGCUUCUAAUAGGCCUUCGACAGCGAGAGAGCCAAGCCAUGUGGGCCGGCCACUCUGUCAAGCCCAACAGCAGCCUCAGAGGUUUUUCUUCGGGCUUGCAAUGAGGAACAAGCUUAACAAGCAAACAGUCAUGUCUGAGCUCUCAGUUCACCGCAAACCAUACUUGAGAACGUCGGGAUGAGAGCGUGGCUUUAGAGGGCUCCGCUCCCCGAGAAGGAAUGUGGAGAAGGCACCUACAGCCCUGUGGUAUCAGUCCAGCCAUUGAAGUGGGUUUCAUGGAAAACCAUCCACCGACAAAGAAAGAAACGCAAGUACUUUCUUCAGAUGGAGAAACUGAAGCACGAAGAGGUGAAGUGAGGUCACCAAGGGAGCAGGUAGGUAACAAAAUGGACAUGACAUGAGCACAGACAGGAUAUGGAGAAGAGAG
This 1196-nucleotide long non-coding RNA is filed under the name Equus caballus (horse). RNAcentral describes it as "lncRNA (ENSECAG00000046268.1)". Lineage: Eukaryota; Metazoa; Chordata; Mammalia; Perissodactyla; Equidae. The record is from RNAcentral.